Anneissia japonica is the source of this 530-nucleotide long non-coding RNA. RefSeq lists it as uncharacterized. The record is from RefSeq and is a predicted model, not a curated record. NCBI's taxonomy places the organism in Eukaryota, Metazoa, Echinodermata, Crinoidea, Comatulida, Comatulidae. The transcript has 3 exons.
UUUUCUUCUUGUUGUUGGUGGAUUUUGGUCGUUUUGGCAUGGACCUAUUGUGGUUUUGGUAAGAAAUGUUUACGGUGUGUGCAGCAGUGUUUUAUUAAAUUAUCGUGAAUAUGAUUCUCGAAGAAUAAGGCUACUUAAAUAGUGACAAUACCAUUGAUUUCUUUGAUUGGCUGGGCCAGCAGCACUCUCUUCCUUCCGUCUUCUCGCCUUGCCCGCCUUGCUCUAGCCGGCUCAACCUACCUAGAGACCUGGGCUAGGCGUACCUGCUGUUUAUCAGUAAUCUUUAUCUGUGUAACCCAAGCAGCUUGCAAAAAUUAUAGGCUUGUUUCUAGCCUAAUUAGCACCAAAAUACAAACAAUUCCAUACAAAAUGCAAAAAAAAAGAAAGACAGAUUGAGAAUGAUUUAUCAGUAGUCUGCUAACUAGAAUUCAGCAGAAUAUAAAAUGCUAAAAAGAAUGGAAUAGGCCUAUCUUGCUGGAUGGUGGGUGAUGUGACAGUGUUAUGCGAUCGUUUACUUUCCAAUAUAGAUG